CCAUGAGAUGUUAUUUAUAACCA
Molecule: small nuclear RNA, 23 nt
Filed under: Arabidopsis thaliana (thale cress)
Lineage: Eukaryota; Viridiplantae; Streptophyta; Magnoliopsida; Brassicales; Brassicaceae
Description: snRNA_08720
Source: RNAcentral